UGUCACAGCAAUGUGACAUGGCAAACGGGUUAGUAAUUCAUAGGAACGUUCCCAAAAGUCGUGAAUAAUCCGGAGAAAUCCGGGAUAAUACACGAUAUGCUCUACGGAGUAAAGAUUUAUCGCUUUUGGAGCGGCCUGUGUCCUAUCAGCUUGUUGGUAGUGUAAAGGACUACCAAGGCUAUGACGGGUAGGGGACCUGAGAGGGUGACCCCCAACAUUGGAACUGAGACACUGUCCAAACACCUACGGGUGGCUGCAGUCGAGAAUAUUCCACAAUGGGCGAAAGCCUGAUGGAGCGACGCCGCGUGCGGGAUGAAGGCCCUUGGGUUGUAAACCGCUUUUAAUCGGGAAGAAAUUGUGUCUCACUAUUGUUUUGUUUGGUGAAAAAAUUUUUAAUUUUUAAUUUUAUAAUUUUGUAAAUAAAUCUAAAUUUUUAAUUUCUAAACUUCCGCGAAGGAACAGUUUAAAAAUUUAGACAUUAAAAAUUACCAAAUUAGAAAUUUAUACGAAAUCAUAGUGAGGCACAAUUUGACGGUACCGAUUGAAUAAGAGGUUACUAACUCUGUGCCAGCCGCCGCGGUAAUACA
RNAcentral lists this ribosomal RNA (587 nucleotides) under uncultured bacterium. Its description in RNAcentral is "bacterial SSU rRNA". It matches the Rfam family "Bacterial small subunit ribosomal RNA", at positions 69 to 527 of the family's 1533-position model. The record is from RNAcentral.